This 660-nucleotide ribosomal RNA is filed under the name Triticum aestivum (bread wheat). RNAcentral's name for it is "partial small subunit ribosomal RNA". The record is from RNAcentral. Lineage: Eukaryota; Viridiplantae; Streptophyta; Magnoliopsida; Poales; Poaceae.
AUGACGACGGGGGAGGACGCGGUCAUGGGCGCGGCGGCGAGCUCCGAGUGCAGCAGCGGCUGCCAGUCCGGCUGGACCACCUACCUGGACGACGACACCUCCUCCUACUCCCGCGGCGGCUCCACCGCGCGGCUCCACGGCGGCAAGGGGCAGCGGUGCCGCUCGUCCUGCCGCUCCGAGGACGCGGAGGAGGACGACCUGUCCAUGAUCUCCGACGCCUCCUCCGGCCCGCGCCACCAGUACUCGGCCGGCUCCGACGAAGGCGCCGCCGCGCAGGCCAAUGCACAGCGCGCGGAGAGGAGGCGUAGGACGGCGGAGCCUGCGGCCGCGAGGCGGCAGGGCAAGAUGGCCGCCGCCGUCGCGUCGACUCUGCUCGAGGACACGGCCAGCUCGCCGGCCUUCUUCAAGCACUCCAAGCAGGUGAUGGGCUCGCCGGAGGCCAAUGGCUACGGCGGGGCGGCCGGGUCGACGAUGGAGUACAGCAAUGCGGCCGACUUCUCCUCCACCUUCUUCUCCCCGGCGGGCUUCGAGUCUCCCUUGAGCGGAUCUCCUCUGGGCAGCUACCUGCAUGCGCAGUACUCCCCUGCCCCUGCCACCAAGCCGAUGCCCACACGACAGCAGGCGUGCAGGGACGGGGGUGACAAGAUGGAGAGGUGGUGA